CAUAUGCAGUGGCUUGGUUAAAGGAACCUACCGGAGCCGUAGCGAAAGCAAGUCUUCAUAGGGUAAUUGUCACUGCUUAUGGACCCGAACCUGGGUGAUUUAUCCAUGACCAGGAUGAGGUUUGGGUGAAACUAAGUAGAGAUCUGAACAGACUGACGUUGAAGAAUUAAUGCAUAAGUUGUGAUUAAGUGUGAAAUACCACUCAUACCUAGAGCUAGCUAG
Gossypium arboreum is the source of this 222-nucleotide non-coding RNA. NCBI's taxonomy places the organism in Eukaryota, Viridiplantae, Streptophyta, Magnoliopsida, Malvales, Malvaceae. The record is from Rfam.